This 399-nucleotide ribosomal RNA is filed under the name uncultured bacterium. Its description in RNAcentral is "partial 16S ribosomal RNA". It matches the Rfam family "Bacterial small subunit ribosomal RNA", at positions 360 to 774 of the family's 1533-position model. The record is from RNAcentral.
AAUAUUGCACAAUGGAGGGAACUCUGAUGCAGCAACGCCGCGUGAGUGAAGAAGGUUUUCGGAUCGUAAAACUCUGUCAUUGGGGAAGAAUAAAUGACGGUACCCAAUGAGGAAGCCCCGGCUAACUACGUGCCAGCAGCCGCGGUGAUACGUAGAGGGCGAGCGUUGUCCGGAAUUACUGGGCGUAAAGGGUACGUAGGCGGCUAUAUAAGUCAGAUGUGAAAGCCCACGGCUUAACCGUGGGACUGCAUUUGAAACUGGAGGGCUUGAGUGUCGGAGAGGGCAGUGGAAUUCCCAGUGUAGCGGUGAAAUGCGUAGAGAUUAGGAGGAACACCAGUGGCGAAGGCGACUUUCUGGACUGUAACUGACGCUGAGGUACGAAAACGUGGGUAGCGAACA